GGCCAUGGCAGUUACUCCUUCCUCAGUAGAUAAAUACAGGCAGGAUGAAGGCACUGCAAGGUUGUGGCUGUUUUCCAGGGGAUGCAGCCAGUUUCUAUACCAUCAGCACAACGCAGCCAGAGGAGCAGCAACUCCCUGAGGACCCCAGCUCGUUGGUGCAGUGCUCAUCCGUGAGUCUGAGAAUAAACCUACCAGGCUGAUAAGGUGCAGCAACUGACAGCAUCUAGGAAACAUCCCCAGAACACCACAAAAAAUCUGCACUCCUGAUUUUGAGAGAGGUUGUGAUGCAUGGCCCAAAGGAAGCAUCUCUGCACCCAAGGAACAAGCCACUGCAUUUGUUGACAGUUUACAUGGUACACAGGAGGGAACUCUGCCCUGGGCAGAUGAGGAUUGUCUUGUCCAGACAGAUGACAGAAUCUGAGAAGUAGCAGGAGCUCUUUGGCAUCCUGCUGUGAUCUGUGGGGAGAAAGGUGCAGCUGUGAGAGUCCAGGCUAUGGCAGCCCUGCUAUUGGAACAUGAACUGCUGCCAGAUGAUCUCUUGUCUCUUUUAAGUAAAGGUGUUUCCAUGGCUAUGUGUGCAGUCACAGUACAUCCAUGAACCGCAGCCCUGUCAGGUCUCCCUUAGAAGACACUUUCAAGAAAGGCAGAGGAAGAGAAGGAAUGAGGUUUGGCUGCAGGCUUGGCCAACCGCACCACUUGUCCAUGGAAAAGCUCUGAACCUCAAGCAGCAAGCUCCUUCUGCACCAGGAGAUC
This 753-nucleotide long non-coding RNA is filed under the name Gallus gallus (chicken). Lineage: Eukaryota; Metazoa; Chordata; Aves; Galliformes; Phasianidae. The record is from RNAcentral.